GCACAACGCGAAGAACCUUACCCACCUUUGACAUGUACGGAAUCCUUUAGAGAUAGAGGAGUGCUCGAAAGAGAGCCGUAACACAGGUGCUGCAUGGCUGUCGUCAGCUCGUGUCGUGAGAUGUUGGGUUAAGUCCCGCAACGAGCGCAACCCUUGCCAUUAGUUGCUACAUUUAGUUGAGCACUCUAAUGGGACUGCCGGUGACAAACCGGAGGAAGGUGGGGAUGACGUCAAGUCCUCAUGGCCCUUAUAGGUGGGGCUACACACGUCAUACAAUGGCUGGUACAAAGGGUUGCCAACCCGCGAGGGGGAGCUAAUCCCAUAAAGCCAGUCGUAGUCCGGAUCGCAGUCUGCAACUCGACUGCGUGAAGUCGGAAUCGCUAGUAAUCGUGGAUCAGAAUGUCACGGUGAAUACGUUCCUGGGUCUUGUACACACCG
This 438-nucleotide ribosomal RNA is filed under the name uncultured bacterium. RNAcentral describes it as "bacterial SSU rRNA". It matches the Rfam family "Bacterial small subunit ribosomal RNA", at positions 954 to 1392 of the family's 1533-position model. The record is from RNAcentral.